This 1137-nucleotide long non-coding RNA is filed under the name Mus musculus (house mouse). RNAcentral describes it as "long non-coding RNA chr16:50752339-50753476". Lineage: Eukaryota; Metazoa; Chordata; Mammalia; Rodentia; Muridae. The record is from RNAcentral.
AAACUUUAGAAGUUUCCUUGGCGCAGCAAAAACAUUCCAGGAAGUAAAGCGGUUAUAAAUAGUUUCGGAUCAUUGUGGAAAUGUACUGGGAACCUGGCAGAAAAUGAAUCAGUCGGGCUUUCCACAAGACCCACCUCAAAUGAAGAUCCCAAUGCAAAGUGGCAGGAAGCCGUCUAGGGAUGCCGCGACUAGGGAUGAUGGGCCGGUGGCGAUGGGGUUCCAGGCAUGAGAAAGAGACUCAGUCUGAAGUGCUCUCAGGCUGGAUCAACUCUAAGGAAGGAGAGCAUUAACAGAAGUUUUCCUAACAGAAGAAGAAAGGCUCCGGAAGACACCAUUUCUAGCAAGGCAGGCUUUCUCUCACAAGCACUGAAGAUGUUUCUGUCUGGGGUAAGGGCUUCAGCGUAGGCAAGCAGGUAUAACGAGCACCAUUGCAUUUGGGUGGAUGGGGGGGAUAAACAAAGGUAUUUCUGGAGAAAUUUGCAGUAUUUUUUUUACAUUCCCAUCUCCAAUAUGUCUCAUUGUGAGCUAUGGAUGGACUGUGAUGUCCAGUUUAAAUAGGAAGUCCCCAUAAAGCACGCCGUGGAGAUUUUAGUGCCACGAGAACGGCUUCCUUUGUAUCUUUAAUUUUAUGUGUAUGGGUGUUUUUCCUGCACACGUAUCUGUGCACCACGUGUAUUCAGUGAUCAGAAGGUAUCAGAUCCCUUGGAACUAGAAUUACAGACGGUUGUUAGCUGUCAAGUGAACGCUGGGAAUUGAACCCCUGCCCUCCGCGGGAGCAGUCAGCAUCAAUGCUCACACCCAGAGAGCAUUUCUCCAGCUUUGCCCGCUCCGUCCUCCAUCCGUCCUUUCUAUCUCUGAAGGUAGAGUGACUGACAAAAAUAGCCAUGUUCCCUUUUAUACCUUGGAUGGAUGCUUGUGAAAUCAUGUUCCUGUUUGACGCGUGAGAUGGGAAAAUUACAGAACUCCAGAAGGGGGUGUGGAAAGGGGCAAAGAGAAGAACUCUGCAGUAAUGGAGUUUGCCUCAUGGCUCUGCCGUUGUUUACCUCGUUUCCUGGGCUCUGGGGACUUCUGGACCAGAGAGCUAAGACAUACUUUCCCUGGAAAAUGCUGGGACUUUAUUAGGCUGGAAAUAAUAAC